This 238-nucleotide ribosomal RNA is filed under the name uncultured bacterium. Its description in RNAcentral is "partial 16S ribosomal RNA". It matches the Rfam family "Bacterial small subunit ribosomal RNA", at positions 96 to 334 of the family's 1533-position model. The record is from RNAcentral.
CGGCGGACGGGUGAGUAACGCGUGGGUAACCUGCCUCAUACAGGGGGAUAACAGUUAGAAAUGACUGCUAAUACCGCAUAAGACCACGGUACCGCAUGGUACAGUGGUAAAAACUCCGGUGGUAUGAGGUGGACCCGCGUCUGAUUAGGUAGUUGGUGGGGUAACGGCCUACCAAGCCGACGAUCAGUAGCCGACCUGAGAGGGUGACCGGCCACAUUGGGACUGAGACACGGCCCAG